RNAcentral lists this long non-coding RNA (221 nucleotides) under Physcomitrium patens. Its description in RNAcentral is "long non-coding RNA (PPAT_LNC005149)". The record is from RNAcentral. Lineage: Eukaryota; Viridiplantae; Streptophyta; Bryopsida; Funariales; Funariaceae.
AUAGUAUAGUAGAAUAAAGUAUAAAUAGGACUAACUAGGGUUUUUUGGGGAAUUUGGUCAGAUAUAGCUUCGGUGUUAAGGACAUAAAUCUCAAAGAAAGAAAAUCAUCAAUACAUUCUUAUGUUACUAAAGACAACUAGAAAGCCACUUGAAAGGUGAUAUAAUAUUAAACUAAAAUGGCAAUUGCUAAAAACAAGAGGACGAAGAAGUCUUAAAAUAAG